Molecule: ribosomal RNA, 253 nt
Filed under: uncultured bacterium
Lineage: Bacteria
Description: partial 16S ribosomal RNA
Rfam family: Bacterial small subunit ribosomal RNA
Source: RNAcentral
UACGUAGGGUGCGAGCGUUGUCCGGAAUUAUUGGGCGUAAAGAGCUCGUAGGCGGCUUGUCACGUCGGAUGUGAAAGCUCGGGGCUUAACCCCGAGUCUGCAUUCGAUACGGGCUAGCUAGAGUGUGGUAGGGGAGAUCGGAAUUCCUGGUGUAGCGGUGAAAUGCGCAGAUAUCAGGAGGAACACCGGUGGCGAAGGCGGAUCUCUGGGCCAUUACUGACGCUGAGGAGCGAAAGCUAGGGGAGCAAACGGG